This 1112-nucleotide ribosomal RNA is filed under the name Clostridioides difficile. Its description in RNAcentral is "partial 23S ribosomal RNA". It matches the Rfam family "Bacterial large subunit ribosomal RNA", at positions 1579 to 2703 of the family's 2925-position model. The record is from RNAcentral. Lineage: Bacteria; Bacillati; Bacillota; Clostridia; Peptostreptococcales; Peptostreptococcaceae.
UUAGUAGCGAAGUAGCUGAUUUCACACUGUCAAGAAAAGUCUCUAUCGAGGUUAAAGGUACCCGUACCGCAAACCGACACAGGUGGGUGAGGAGAGUAUCCUAAGGCCAGCGAGAGAACUGUUGUUAAGGAACUCGGCAAAAUGACCCCGUAACUUAGGGAUAAGGGGUGCCACCAUCAGGUGGCCGCAGAGAAUAGGCCCAAGCGACUGUUUACCAAAAACAUAGGUUUCUGCUAAGUCGCAAGACGAUGUAUAGGAGCUGACGCCUGCCCGGUGCUGGAAGGUUAAGGGGAUCUGUUAGAGCAAUCGAAGCAGUGAACUUAAGCCCCAGUAAACGGCGGCCGUAACUAUAACGGUCCUAAGGUAGCGAAAUUCCUUGUCGGGUAAGUUCCGACCCGCACGAAAGGCGUAACGAUUUGGGCACUGUCUCAACAACAGACUCGGUGAAAUUGUAAUUCCGGUGAAGAUGCCGGAUACCUGCGACAGGACGGAAAGACCCCAUGGAGCUUUACUGUAGCUUGACAUUGGGUCUUGGUACUACAUGUACAGGAUAGGUGGGAGGCUUUGAAACCAGGACGCCAGUUUUGGCGGAGCCAUCCUUGGGAUACCACCCUUGUAGUACUGGGACUCUAACCAUAGGCCAUGAAUCUGGUCUUGGGACACUGUCAGGUGGGCAGUUUGACUGGGGCGGUCGCCUCCCAAAAGGUAACGGAGGCGCUCAAAGGUUCUCUCAGUACGGUCGGAAAUCGUACGUAGAGUGUAAAGGCAAAAGAGAGCUUGAUUGCAAGACAUACAGGUCGAGCAAGGAUGAAAAUCGGACUUAGUGAUCCGGUGGUUCUGCGUGGAAGGGCCAUCGCUCAACGGAUAAAAGCUACCCUGGGGAUAACAGGCUUAUCUCCCCCAAGAGUCCACAUCGACGGGGAGGUUUGGCACCUCGAUGUCGGCUCAUCACAUCCUGGGGCUGUAGUAGGUCCCAAGGGUUGGGCUGUUCGCCCAUUAAAGUGGUACGCGAGCUGGGUUCAGAACGUCGUGAGACAGUUCGGUCCCUAUCCGUCGCAGGCGUAGGAAAUUUGAGAAGACCUGUCCUUAGUACGAGAGGACCGGGAUGGACG